AUAAUAAAUAAUUUCUGCCCGGUGCGGUUAUGUAAACGGCCGCGGUACUCUGGACCGUGCAAAGGUAGCCAUAAUCCACUUGCUUUUUUAUUGGGGGGCUAGAAUGAAUGGGGUGACCGUAGUUUAUGCUGUCUCUUUUUUUUAUUUGAAAAUUGCUGUUUUUGUGAAGAAGCAAAAAUAUUAAAAAAAGACAAGAAGACCCUAUUAAGCUUUACUAAGUUAUAGUAUAUAGUGCUUUUUUAGAUAAAAUGUGUGUAUCUUGUAUUUAGUUUGGUUGGGGUGAUCGAAGAAGAUAAAAAUCUUCUUUUGUUUUUAAAAACUUUAAGUUAAUAGUUUAAUGUGCCAAUAUUUGUAUUGAAAAUCAAAAUAAGUUACUAUAGGGAUAACAGCGUAAUUUUUUCAGAGAGUUCUUAUUGAAGAAAAAGAUUGCGACCUCGAUGUUGACUUGUUGUUUCCUUUAUUUUUUGGUGUAGUAGCUGAAAAGGUGGUCUGUCGCCCAUAAAACACAACACGUGAUCUGAG
RNAcentral lists this ribosomal RNA (522 nucleotides) under Quasilineus sp. 466 MLS-2006. Its description in RNAcentral is "partial 16S ribosomal RNA". It matches the Rfam family "Bacterial large subunit ribosomal RNA", at positions 1845 to 2609 of the family's 2925-position model. The record is from RNAcentral. Lineage: Eukaryota; Metazoa; Nemertea; Pilidiophora; Heteronemertea; Lineidae.